Molecule: ribosomal RNA, 912 nt
Filed under: uncultured organism
Description: bacterial SSU rRNA
Rfam family: Bacterial small subunit ribosomal RNA
Source: RNAcentral
UUGGAUCCAGACUUUGAUCCUGGCUCAGGAUGAACGCUAGCUACAGGCUUAACACAUGCAAGUCGAGGGGAAACGACAUUGAAAGCUUGCUUUCGAUGGGCGUCGACCGGCGCACGGGUGAGUAACGCGUAUCCAACCUGCCCAUCACUUGGGGAUAACCUUGCGAAAGUAAGACUAAUACCCAAUGACGUCUCUAGAAGACAUCUGAAAGAGAUUAAAGAUUUAUCGGUGAUGGAUGGGGAUGCGUCUGAUUAGCUUGUUGGCGGGGUAACGGCCCACCAAGGCUACGAUCAGUAGGGGUUCUGAGAGGAAGGUCCCCCACAUUGGAACUGAGACACGGUCCAAACUCCUAUGGGAGGCAGCAGUGAGGAAUAUUGGUCAAUGGGCGAGAGCCUGAACCAGCCAAGUAGCGUGCAGGAUGACGGCCCUAUGGGUUGUAAACUGCUUUUAUAAGGGAAUAAAGUGAGUCUCGUGAGACUUUUUGCAUGUACCUUAUGAAUAAGGACCGGCUAAUUCCGUGCCAGCAGCCGCGGUAAUACGGAAGGUCCGGGCGUUAUCCGGAUUUAUUGGGUUUAAAGGGAGCGUAGGCCGGAGAUUAAGCGUGUUGUGAAAUGUAGACGCUCAACGUCUGCACUGCAGCGCGAACUGGUUUCCUCGAGUACGCACAAAGUGGGCGGAAUUCGUGGUGUAGCGGUGAAAUGCUUAGAUAUCACGAAGAACUCCGAUUGCGAAGGCAGCUCACUGGAGCGCAACUGACGCUGAAGCUCGAAAGUGCGGGUACCGAACAGGAUUAGAUACCCUGGUAGUCCGCACGGUAAACGAUGGAUGCCCGCUGUUGGUCUGAAUAGGUCAGCGGCCAAGCGAAAGCAUUAAGCAUCCCACCUGGGGAGUACGCCGGCAACGGUGCAACUC